Molecule: ribosomal RNA, 728 nt
Filed under: uncultured bacterium
Lineage: Bacteria
Description: bacterial SSU rRNA
Rfam family: Bacterial small subunit ribosomal RNA
Source: RNAcentral
GAGCAAACAGGAUUAGAUACCCUGGUAGUCCACGCCGUAAACGAUGAUAACUAGCCGUUGGAUUUAUCCAGUGGCGCAGCUAACGCAUUAAGUUAUCCGCCUGGGGAGUACGGCCGCAAGGCUAAAACUCAAAUGAAUUGACGGGGACCCGCACAAGCGGUGGAGCAUGUGGUUUAAUUCGAUGCAACGCGAAAAACCUUACCUACAAUUGACAUACUGCGAAUUUUCUAGAGAUAGAUUAGUGCCUUCGGGAACGCAGAUACAGGUGCUGCAUGGCUGUCGUCAGCUCGUGUCGUGAGAUGUUGGGUUAAGUCCUAUAACGAGCGCAACCCUUACCCUUAUUUGCCAGCGGUUCGGCCGGGAACUAUAAGGGAACUGCCGGUAAUAAGCCGGAGGAAGGUGGGGACGACGUCAAGUCAUCAUGGCCCUUACAUGUAGGGCUACACACGUGCUACAAUGGGAGAUACAAACGGUUGCCAAAGCGCGAGCUGGAGCUAAUCCGAGAAAGUCUCUCGUAGUCCGAAUUGCAGUCUGGAACUCGACUGCAUGAAGCCGGAAUCGCUAGUAAUCGCGGAUCAGCAUGCCGCGGUGAAUACGUUCUCGGGUCUUGUACACACCGCCCGUCACACCAUGGGAGUGCAUUGCACCAGAAGUAGAUAGCUUAACCUUCGGGAUGGCGUUUACCACGGUGUGGUCCAUGACUGGGGUGAAGUCAUAACAAGGUAGCC